This 614-nucleotide ribosomal RNA is filed under the name Neptuniibacter sp. Its description in RNAcentral is "bacterial SSU rRNA". It matches the Rfam family "Bacterial small subunit ribosomal RNA", at positions 75 to 683 of the family's 1533-position model. The record is from RNAcentral. Lineage: Bacteria; Pseudomonadati; Pseudomonadota; Gammaproteobacteria; Oceanospirillales; Oceanospirillaceae.
CUAACUUGCUAGAUGCUGACGAGCGGCGGACGGGUGAGUAACGCGUAGGAAUCUACCCAGUAGCGGGGGAUAAGCCAGAGAAAUUUGGUCUAAUACCGCAUACGCCCUUCGGGGGAAAGCAGGGGCUCUUCGGACCUUGCACUAUUGGAUGAGCCUGCGUGAGAUUAGCUAGUUGGUGAGGUAAUGGCUCACCAAGGCGACGAUCUCUAGCUGGUCUGAGAGGAUGAUCAGCCACACUGGGACUGAGACACGGCCCAGACUCCUACGGGAGGCAGCAGUGGGGAAUAUUGCACAAUGGGCGAAAGCCUGAUGCAGCCAUGCCGCGUGUGUGAAGAAGGCCUUAGGGUUGUAAAGCACUUUCAGUCGUGAGGAAAGGUGUGUGCUUAAUACGUACAUACUGUGACGUUAGCGACAGAAGAAGGACCGGCUAACUCCGUGCCAGCAGCCGCGGUAAUACGGAGGGUCCGAGCGUUAAUCGGAAUUACUGGGCGUAAAGCGCGCGUAGGUGGAUUGGUCAGUCAGAUGUGAAAGCCCAGGGCUCAACCUUGGAACUGCAUCUGAUACUGCUAGUCUAGAAUACAGUAGAGGGCAGUGGAAUUUCCUGUGUAGCGGUG